UAAGAAGGAAAGAUAAGAGCUGCCAGG
RNAcentral lists this non-coding RNA (27 nucleotides) under Mus musculus (house mouse). Lineage: Eukaryota; Metazoa; Chordata; Mammalia; Rodentia; Muridae. The record is from RNAcentral.